Molecule: ribosomal RNA, 661 nt
Filed under: uncultured Streptomyces sp.
Lineage: Bacteria; Bacillati; Actinomycetota; Actinomycetes; Kitasatosporales; Streptomycetaceae
Description: bacterial SSU rRNA
Rfam family: Bacterial small subunit ribosomal RNA
Source: RNAcentral
UCUCGCGGCCUAUCAGCUUGUUGGUGAGGUAGUGGCUCACCAAGGCGACGACGGGUAGCCGGCCUGAGAGGGCGACCGGCCACACUGGGACUGAGACACGGCCCAGACUCCUACGGGAGGCAGCAGUGGGGAAUAUUGCACAAUGGGCGAAAGCCUGAUGCAGCGACGCCGCGUGAGGGAUGACGGCCUUCGGGUUGUAAACCUCUUUCAGCAGGGAAGAAGCGAAAGUGACGGUACCUGCAGAAGAAGCGCCGGCUAACUACGUGCCAGCAGCCGCGGUAAUACGUAGGGCGCAAGCGUUGUCCGGAAUUAUUGGGCGUAGAGAGCUCGUAGGCGGCUUGUCACGUCGGUUGUGAAAGCCCGGGGCUUAACCCCGGGUCUGCAGUCGAUACGGGCAGGCUAGAGUUCGGUAGGGGAGAUCGGAAUUCCUGGUGUAGCGGUGAAAUGCGCAGAUAUCAGGAGGAACACCGGUGGCGAAGGCAGAUCUCUGGGCCGAUACUGACGCUGAGGAGCGAAAGCGUGGGGAGCGAACAGGAUUAGAUACCCUGGUAGUCCACGCCGUAAACGGUGGGCACUAGGUGUGGGCAACAUUCCACGUUGUCCGUGCCGCAGCUAACGCAUUAAGUGCCCCGCCUGGGGAGUACGGAAGCUUGGAAUUCGC